Molecule: ribosomal RNA, 253 nt
Filed under: uncultured bacterium
Lineage: Bacteria
Description: partial 16S ribosomal RNA
Rfam family: Bacterial small subunit ribosomal RNA
Source: RNAcentral
UACGUAGGGUGCAAGCGUUGUCCGGAAUUAUUGGGCGUAAAGAGCUCGUAGGCGGUUUGUCGCGUCUGCUGUGAAAACUCGGGGCUCAACUCCGAGCUUGCAGUGGGUACGGGCAGACUAGAGUGCGGUAGGGGAGACUGGAAUUCCUGAUGUAGCGGUGGAAUGCGCAGAUAUCAGGAGGAACACCGGUGGCGAAGGCGGGUCUCUGGGCCGUAACUGACGCUGAGGAGCGAAAGCAUGGGGAGCGAACAGG